Molecule: ribosomal RNA, 457 nt
Filed under: Neisseria subflava
Lineage: Bacteria; Pseudomonadati; Pseudomonadota; Betaproteobacteria; Neisseriales; Neisseriaceae
Description: bacterial SSU rRNA
Rfam family: Bacterial small subunit ribosomal RNA
Source: RNAcentral
AUUGAACGCUGGUGGCAUGCUUUACACAUGCAAGUCGGACGGCAGCACAGAGAAGCUUGCUUCUUGGGUGGCGAGUGGCGAACGGGUGAGUAAUAUAUCGGAACGUACCGAGUAAUGGGGGAUAACUAAUCGAAAGAUUAGCUAAUACCGCAUAUUCUCUGAGGAGGAAAGCAGGGGACCUUCGGGCCUUGCGUUAUUCGAGCGGCCGAUAUCUGAUUAGCUAGUUGGUGGGGUAAAGGCCUACCAAGGCGACGAUCAGUAGCGGGUCUGAGAGGAUGAUCCGCCACACUGGGACUGAGACACGGCCCAGACUCCUACGGGAGGCAGCAGUGGGGAAUUUUGGACAAUGGGCGCAAGCCUGAUCCAGCCAUGCCGCGUGUCUGAAGAAGGCCUUCGGGUUGUAAAGGACUUUUGUCAGGGAAGAAAAGGAUAGGGUUAAUACCCCUGUCUGAUGACG